This 277-nucleotide unclassified non-coding RNA is filed under the name Sordariales sp. Its description in RNAcentral is "partial contains 5.8S ribosomal RNA, internal transcribed spacer 2, and large subunit ribosomal RNA". Lineage: Eukaryota; Fungi; Ascomycota; Sordariomycetes; Sordariales. The record is from RNAcentral.
CGCACAUUGCACCUAUUAGUAUUCUAGUAGGUAUGCCUGUCCGAGCGUCAUUUCAACCCUCAGAGCGGCUCCGGCCGCACUGGUGUUGGGGUUCCCCCGGCCGUCGCGCCGCGGGCCCCGAAAGUCAUCGGCGGUGCCUGCCAGCACUCCGGGCGCAGUAAAAUAUCUCGCCAUGGACGUCUGGCGGCGCAUCAGCCGCUAAACCAGCAGGGCCGAAAGGCGCUGCGACACCCCACAGGUUGACCUCGGAUCAGGUAGGAAUACCCGCUGAACUUAA